Molecule: ribosomal RNA, 484 nt
Filed under: uncultured bacterium
Lineage: Bacteria
Description: partial 16S ribosomal RNA
Rfam family: Bacterial small subunit ribosomal RNA
Source: RNAcentral
GAUGAACGCUAGCGGCAGGCCUAAUACAUGCAAGCCAAGGGCUGUUUGGUGUAGCAAUACAUCAAACAACCGGCGGACGGGUGCGUAACGCGUAUGCAACCUACCCUAUACAGGAGGAUAGCCCUCGGAAACGAGGAUUAAUACUCCAUAAGAUUGCUUAGAGGCAUCUUUAAGCAAUUAAAGCCGCAAGGCGGUAUAGGAUGGGCGUGCGUCCGAUUAGCUAGUUGGUGAGGUAACGGCUCGCCAAGGCGAUGAUCGGUAGGGGUUCUGAGAGGAAGAUCCCCCCAACGGGAACGGGGACACGGGCCCGAUCCCACCGGGAGGAAGCAGAAAGGAAUAUUGGAAAAGGGGGGAAGCCCGAACCCAGCCAUGCGGCGUGAAGAAGGAAGGCCCAUGGGGUGGUAACCUGUUUUUGGGGGGGGGAAUAAGGGCGAUGCGUCGCUCGAUGAUAGUACUUCUCGAAUAAGCAUCGGCUAACUUCGUG